UACGUAGGGGGCAAGCGUUGUCCGGAUUUAUUGGGCGUAAAGAGCGUGUAGGCGGCUAGGUAGGUCCGUUGUGAAAACUCGAGGCUCAACCUCGAGACGCCGGUGGAAACCAUCUAGCUAGAGUCCGGAAGAGGAGAGUGGAAUUCCUGGUGUAGCGGUGAAAUGCGCAGAUAUCUGGAGGAACACCGGUGGCGAAGGCGGCAUCCUGGACCGACACUGACACUGAGGAGCGAAAGCCAGGGGAGCAAACGGG
RNAcentral lists this ribosomal RNA (253 nucleotides) under uncultured bacterium. RNAcentral's name for it is "partial 16S ribosomal RNA". It matches the Rfam family "Bacterial small subunit ribosomal RNA", at positions 524 to 776 of the family's 1533-position model. The record is from RNAcentral.